CGAUCCUCCCAUCUCAGCCUCCCGAGUAGCUGGGACUACAGGCGCGCGCCACCGCGUCCGGCGCUCGCAAGAGCUGCAAAAACGUACUAGAGGCUACGGGUGUGGUGACGUCACGGGGGGAGGGACGAGUCCGGGGCGUGGAGAGCUUGGGCACGCCUGGCGAGAGGCGGUCUUCAGGCUUGAUUCGCGUGACGUCAUCUGGGCGGGGCUGUUGUCCUGCCCCCUCUGGGUUCCCGGUGAGGAAAGUCACCUGACCUGUAGUGGGCGCGGCUUCCGGUGUUUUGCUGCAAAGCUGCGUGCGUUACUGUUUAACAGAAAUUGGUCAGCCUGCGCUUAAUACUCGUAGUGUCAUCAAUUCUCAAGACUGUCAAAUCUGUAACUCCAAUCUGAUGCUUUUGUGGAGCUCCAUAUCUACAUUUCUAGCCACCUUCUGGAUGUCACCUUGAAAUCGUUCAAAACUUCAAAUUCAUUUGCAAGCAAAACCGAUCACCUCUUCCUCCAUUGCUCGAUGCUCCUAUAUUCACACUGUCUAUUAAAGAUAUUUAGUUGCUCACCUCAGAAUCCUGAGUCAUCUUUAACUACUGUUUCAUUCAAUACCAAAUAUUCAUUUCUUGCCUUUCUAAUGACAGGCACUGUGUUACAUGAUGAGGAUGUAGUAGUGAAGAAAAGAAACACACGGAAGAGACAAGCAAAAAGUUAUAAUUACAAACUGCGAUAAGUGCUAGUAAAAGAACCCAGACACUGUAAUAUAAAUAAUGGUGGCAAGAAAGGGGAAGGGAUCUUCUUUAGAGAAGGUACUCGGGUAAGCCUCUUUGAGGAGGUGUUAUUUAAAUUAGAGUUUGAAGAAUGAGGCAUUAGUUAAGGUACUUCGAUUGCAAACAAGAAUUGUUUGUAGACGGAAAUAAACGAACUUCUCUUAAGGAAUUGAUUGGAAGAAAAUGGCGCUAGAUGGCGUCAGUGCAGACACACUGCAGUGUCCCUGCUUUAACCAUGCAAAUGAGGAAAAAUAUCCUAGUAGAUGACAGAGGAUCAAGAGGAGAGACACCAGGCGCCAUGGGUGAAUUAAUGGAGUGGAGCCACCUUGCCAGUCUGUGUGCCACCCCUAACUCUGGAAUGUUAUAUGAGAAAUAAGCUUCUAUUUCAUUUAAAUCAUUAUGUCUUGGGGGUCUCUAUUACUGCAGCAUACUCUGUACUCUACCAGAUGUAGGGAAGUUCACAAAAGAAAAUCCCGGAUAACCAGAAUUCUGAAAGAGCAGAAACCAAAAGAGCUCCAGGUAUCUACAGGAUACCCCAACGGAAGGAACCAUCUUCAACCUCCUGUAAGAAGAGUCCGAUUUUCUAGUUUCAGUUCUGUAUUCUACAAUCUUUAUUUAUAGUCAUAUCCAUUUAUAUAAUUGUGUUGUAAAUAAAACUUUUGUGUUCUGCUUUU
Molecule: non-coding RNA, 1429 nt
Organism: Microcebus murinus (gray mouse lemur)
Lineage: Eukaryota; Metazoa; Chordata; Mammalia; Primates; Cheirogaleidae
Source: RefSeq, a predicted model, not a curated record